RNA transcript from Aplysia californica (California sea hare), 478 nucleotides. RefSeq lists it as uncharacterized. The transcript is spliced from 3 exons. The record is from RefSeq and is a predicted model, not a curated record. Lineage: Eukaryota; Metazoa; Mollusca; Gastropoda; Aplysiida; Aplysiidae.
UACAUGGCAGGAAGACCGCGCAGAGGUCCAGCGAACUGCCGGCAAGACCGGCGGAUCAGACUGGAGGACGGUCUAUCUCGACGGUGCGUUGAAAGAAAAGUGAAUGGUGAUCAGCCUCGGAAGUAGAGUGAUCCCCCUACAGGACCAGACGAUUGUCCAUAUCCACUGUAUAGAGAAACAAGAAAUGUUGGAGUGUUUUCUAUGACACGUUUUAUCCCCUGGACAGCCUACAGUUCAGCAUCGACGGAUUGCCGACAGGAUCAGAGGAUUGUCCACAUCGACAAUGUCGAGAAACAAGAAGCGUUGAAUGAUCAGCCUCAAAAGAUCACUGCCACUCAUCACUUUUCGUCAAGAAGACACUGGGGUAAUCAGUAAGUCUACCACGUAAGGUCAAAGGACAAACAGCUGGCAGUGUUUAUUUGAUCCACUGAGUAUAUAUUUUACAGCAUCAUUGACGCAGUAAUGGCAACUCAGCACU